GAUGUGAGUAUUGUUUGGCAGAUGAGAACUGCCGAAGGCAGUCGAGCCGAGCGAAGCGAGACCACAUCGGAGCCUGCGACGAUAGCCCCGAAGGGGAAGGCGCGUAGCGACGUAUAAUCUGCCUAGUCCUACCA
This 134-nucleotide small RNA is filed under the name Motiliproteus coralliicola. RNAcentral describes it as "RtT sRNA". It matches the Rfam family "RtT RNA". From Rfam's summary of the family: This family represents a bacterial cis-regulatory element known as RtT RNA. The exact function of RtT is unknown although it is thought that it may be involved in changing the cellular response in relation to amino acid starvation. The record is from RNAcentral. Lineage: Bacteria; Pseudomonadati; Pseudomonadota; Gammaproteobacteria; Oceanospirillales; Oceanospirillaceae.